This 795-nucleotide long non-coding RNA is filed under the name Ananas comosus (pineapple). RNAcentral's name for it is "long non-coding RNA (ACOM_LNC010484)". Lineage: Eukaryota; Viridiplantae; Streptophyta; Magnoliopsida; Poales; Bromeliaceae. The record is from RNAcentral.
AACGCCCCAGCUCACUAGCAACAAUAACUCGUCGGGCCCAACCACCGACCCAAAAUGCUUAAGCCCAGUUAUUAUUAGUAGUGUCUAUGUCUCUUAUAUAUCCAAUCACAUCCCCAUUCAUAUCCGAUGUGGGAUUAUUGGAGUGUGACACGGUUGAAGACUACAAAUCCAACCAAUGUGGAGAUAGUUAGAAUUUGGUUAGAUUUGUAGUUGAAUCCUAAUUGGAUUAAGAUUAAUAUUUAAAUCUAUUGGAGAUAAAUUAAGAUUUAAAUAUUAAUUAGAGUAUGAAUCUAACUAGAUUAGGAUAAAUAUUUAAAUCUAUUGGAGAUAAAUUAAAUAUAGAUUUAAAUAUUUAUUAGAGUAGGAAUGGUAAAUAUACUAGGAUUUGGGUACGUUUUAUUGUAAGCAUUAUAUAAGCACCAUGUAGAGUGCUUUGGGAGGGUGAGUACAGCUUAAAAGUUGAAGCUCUUUGGUGGGUUGUACCAGAGAGAGAGAGUUGGCCGGUUGCAUGCACCUAGUGCAUGGGUGCAUGUAAGAGAGAAAGAGAGUUGUCUUAUAAAUUUAUAAAAGACAAGAGAUGGAUAGAAGAGAUUCAGAAAGAGGGCUUGGGUUGUAGCUUCUCUGUGCAAAAGAGGAGUCAGGUGUAAUCUUCUCUUAUUUAAUGAAUCUUAUUUUACCUGCAUAUUUUUCUCUUUUAUGAUUGUAUCAGCUUCUGCUGAGGAGACGGGUUUAUGGUAAAAAUCCGAUUUGACGCUUCUAUUGCGAAAUCCCAACAAUUGGUACCAGAUCCACAGU